Molecule: long non-coding RNA, 1393 nt
Organism: Octopus sinensis (East Asian common octopus)
Lineage: Eukaryota; Metazoa; Mollusca; Cephalopoda; Octopoda; Octopodidae
Exons: 3
Source: RefSeq, a predicted model, not a curated record
CUCUGCUUACUUGCCAUCGAAUUUAAAUCCGGCAACAGAAAAUUUGAAAUUAAUUGGGACCCCGGAUACGUUGCUACUGUUUAAAACUAAACUGAGUGUCACAUUUUCAUCGUCGUUUGAACAAAGCGGACGCUGAAUUUUUCUCAGAUAAAAGGACUUCAACCCGAAUCUGAACAUAAUAUUCGAAUUUGAAGACAUGGACUCAAUCUUUAAUAAAAUUAGAAUUAAUGAUGUGGAAGGAUUGAAAAUCUUAAUUGAGGAGAAGCCAGGCGAAGUAAGUUGUUCUGUUUAUUGCUUUCUCAAAUUUGCCUAUUUCUUUAUUAUUUUAUACACAAUUUGAAAACUUCAAACUAACUGCAUAUAUUUCUCCAUAAUAUUUCAUUUCUUUCUUCUUCUCUUUCCUCCAAUUGCCAUUAAUGUUAUAAUAAAAUUCUUGACCAAGGCAGCGAGUUGGCAGAAGCGUUACCACGCCAGGUGAAAUGUUUAGCAGUAUUUCGUCUGUGUUUACGUUCUCAGAUCAAAUUCCGCCGAGGUCGAGUUUUCUUGUCCUCCUUUCUAGGUCGAAAUAUUAAGUACUAGUUGCCUACUGCGGUCGGUCUAAUUCACUGCCCCCUCCCCCAAAAUGUCAGGCCUUGUGCCUUAAGAAGAAAAUAAUAUUAUUCUGGACCAAAUUUUGAGCAUGGCAAAGUAGAUGGAAUGUGAAUGAGAGAGAAACCCAUCAUCAAACACUGCAAGGGAGUAUUCUGAUAUGAAAUUUUCAGAUGAGAUGAGAAACAGAUGGAGUCCGUAGAUGAAUGGUGACUUUUAAAGAUGUCCUCUUGCCAUACGCAGUCGAAGGUUUUACUGAUGUCAAGGGUUACACCAUUUUAUGCAGAUUUUGUCAAACAUAUGAAAACACUGUUGUGUCACACAGGUACCAAGCCCCUCUUGAUCUGGCUUUAUAAAAUUGUACUGGUGUUCAUUGAAUAAUGAAAGAUACCUAAAGGGACAAAUAUGAUGGUUGUUUGUGACUUUUACUUCAUAAUUGAAACAUUGGAAGUUAGAAUGACUGGAUGGUAGUCACUCGAUAAGAUAUUGUCUGCAGGAAUAUUGAGCAGGAUUUCCCAGUGAGGUCAGUACUACCCAUGUGUCGGGGCGCUGUGGGAAAAUAUUAUAUGAGGUUAUGUAUAUAUGAAACACAAAGAAUGUGUACCCGCGUUUAACUGAAGCUAUGUAUCAACGGUUGGAUCAGUAAAGAAAACUAAGUGGUGAAGCAUCAAGUAUUCACUUAUUCUGGUGAAGGUUCUGUGGUAAGUAGUCACCCAUGUCAAGACUAGGAUCGAGAGGGAAAUUAAUCUGAUCUGGUAUUAAUUGAAACGAGAUUAAAAAUGUGUUAUAUAGAGUCGUAGCAAGG